Molecule: long non-coding RNA, 1280 nt
Filed under: Musa acuminata (dwarf banana)
Lineage: Eukaryota; Viridiplantae; Streptophyta; Magnoliopsida; Zingiberales; Musaceae
Description: long non-coding RNA (MACU_LNC007994)
Source: RNAcentral
ACCAAAGAGAUAGGUAGCGCCCUUAUCCCCAGUUAAGUUCUCAACGAGAGAAUCAGUAGUGUAGCGGUGAAGAAUAGGCUUGGCUCCCGACCCGAAAACAGGACCCCCUGAAAACAGGAACAGUAAUAACUCCCAAUACACAAUAAAACGAGUGCUUUUCUUUUUAUUACUUAUGUGUUGUCGUAGAGAAAGUAUGCAGCUAUGGGUUCUGUAUAUCUCGGUGUUGGUGCAAGUGCAAUUCCAGCCUCUGUGCUGUAAGGAAACAAGUUCUUUUUUUGGAGUUCGAGUAUCAUCUCUGAUAGAAGCUCUGCGUAGGUGCUCUAGCUCUGCUCUAAGUAUGCGAGAGAAUCUACUUUCUAAAGUCAGUCAGCAGAAGCAAGAGAAGUCAAGUCGACAAAAGAUGGAUCUGGAGUUGUAAAAGAGGAAGGAGAUAGAUCUGGUUAUGAAGCAACAGAAUCAAGAUCUUUACCCGAACCGAGUUGCAACUCGCUAAGGUGGGUGUUCGCACUUUUCAAACUCCUAGUCGUUAGUUACUCCAAACUUUUCUAACAGCUAAAGUCCAAAUCAAAACCGGUAUAACAGCUUAAGUCAAAAGAGAAACCAAUGAAGAAAGGACUAGUAGUUGCGCUUGGUCAUUAGUGGUUACUUGGUCAGUUUCAAACAUUCCCAUAUCAAUUAGAUCUUUCUCUUCUCUUAUUAUAGGAUGAAAUUGAGGUAUAGGAUUACAUUUAGGAUGCAACUCGACCAGAAAAAGAAUUUCUACCUAUUCACUUUCACUAUAUAGGGAGAGUCACCUAUAACUUCACUACUUGUUGAGUUCGCCCUUGUAGUAGUUACUAGUUUUGUUUAGAGCAACACCAAGCACAAGUCUCAAAUAUGGGUUUCUAGUUUCAUCAACGAGAUCAUCAAGGGUUCCUCCUUCUAGCUGCUCCUUCAUGAGUUUCAGUUUCCCCUUCAGAGUAGCGGUAAGUAAACUAGUUCAAUAGGUUGAUUACUAAUUCUUAUCAGAGUUUAGGUAAAUCCUCUGACUCCCUAUAUUAUAUGUUUAUUAGCGGUAUUUGCAGUAAAUAAGAAUAUUGAGUAGUUACUACUUGUCUGCUAGUAUAGUAAUAGCUUGGCAAAGGACUAAAAAGCACUCAAUACACUUAAAGAAAGAAAGAGAUCUUCUUCUUAAUACGUACGAUUCCACUCGCCCAGCUUCUUAUCGAACUGCGGAUUAUUCUGAUAUGCCUAUAACGGGGAGCCCACGUAGCAGAAUCAAACCAGAGCAACGGAAUCAC